UCAGGAUGAACGCUGGCGGCGUGCUUAACACAUGCAAGUCGAACGGAGUUAAGAAGGAAGCUUGCUUCAUUUAACUUAGUGGCGGACGGGUGAGUAACGCGUGAGGAACCUGCCCUUCAGUGGGGAACAACAACUAGAAAUGGUUGCUAAUACCGCAUAAUGUCGGAUUGCCGCAUGACAAACCGACCAAAGGAUUUAUUCGCUGAGGGAUGGCCUCGCGUCCGAUUAGAUAGUUGGUGAGGUAACGGCCCACCAAGUCUGCGAUCGGUAGCCGAACUGAGAGGUUGAUCGGCCACAUUGGGACUGAGACACGGCCCAGACUCCUACGGGAGGCAGCAGUGGGGAAUAUUGGGCAAUGGGCGAAAGCCCUGACCCAGCAACGCCGCGUGAAGGAUGACGGUCUUCGGAUUGUAAGCUUCUUUAAUUGGGGAAGAACAAAAUGACCUACCCAAAGAAUAAGUCACGGCUAACUACGUGCCAGCAGCGGC
This 488-nucleotide ribosomal RNA is filed under the name uncultured bacterium. Its description in RNAcentral is "bacterial SSU rRNA". It matches the Rfam family "Bacterial small subunit ribosomal RNA", at positions 24 to 518 of the family's 1533-position model. The record is from RNAcentral.